AUAGAGAGGCCUGGGAAUGAGCUGAUUGUUCGAACAGCAAAGGCAUGCCUGACCCGUGCUGAUUUUUGGACCUUGGGCUUAAACCGAGACAUGGAGUCUACCAUUGGAAAUGGUUGUUUUCAACUGAUUGACAGAAUUGCAGAGUCAAAGGGAAAGGACAUUCAUAUUGUUGACCUGUAUACCGUACCAACAUGGCUACCCCCAAUGAGCUGUGAUCCAAUGUUAAGUCUGCCUGUAAGUAUGCACUUUCCCAUUACUAGUUAUGCUCACAAAUCAUAUGUUUUGAUUUACAAUCUUUCAUUACUGCUCUAGGA
Molecule: long non-coding RNA, 314 nt
Organism: Carassius auratus (goldfish)
Lineage: Eukaryota; Metazoa; Chordata; Actinopteri; Cypriniformes; Cyprinidae
Exons: 3
Source: RefSeq, a predicted model, not a curated record